GGUACCUUUAAAAUCAGUCCAGAGAGGCUGGCAAGGUCAACGUUUAAGCAGGAGCAGACUCCGGGGGAGAGCGUAUUGCGGCGGUUAGCUGCAACUUCCUUCGGUUCCAAGCACCCGUCUGUUUCUGCACAUGCGCUAACCUUCUUGCCUUCGGAGCAAGGAGGUUUUUUUAU
Molecule: regulatory RNA element, 173 nt
Organism: Paenibacillus sp. HGF7
Lineage: Bacteria; Bacillati; Bacillota; Bacilli; Caryophanales; Paenibacillaceae
Rfam family: PyrR binding site
About the family: This family represents the PyrR binding site and terminator structure.
Source: Rfam